This 2262-nucleotide long non-coding RNA is filed under the name Daphnia pulex (common water flea). RNAcentral describes it as "uncharacterized LOC124204190, transcript variant X1". Lineage: Eukaryota; Metazoa; Arthropoda; Branchiopoda; Diplostraca; Daphniidae. The record is from RNAcentral.
CUGUAAUAGAAUAUUAUGAGCUACUGAGUACGAAACAUUUCCCAAAUCUGUUGAAUCUGCGUCAACCGCGAAUACUGACCUCAUGUCGGACCAACAGAUUGGAGAUAAGUGAAAUAAAAGUAGUAAUACGUUAUACUUGUCUGCCGCCUGAGUGUCUAGACUCCAUUCCCGUUUUCUAUCAAGUCUCAACUCUUGCUACGUCUCUAACGUGAGAGGGGAGUAAGGGCGGAGGGUAGCGUGAUCCAGAGUGAUCUCGUCGUCAUUUGUUUCCCGUCACCCACGCAGUCCCGCAGGGUCGUAACAUUCGUCACGUGAUCAAAGUCUCUAUAGCCGCUCUGUUUUUUUUUUUUUUUGUUUUUGGUUGUUGUUGUUGUUAGUUUUUUUUUUAUUUUUUUUUAAUUUCUGUUUCGACUGCAACUGAUUGCAACUCCUGCAAGCUGUUGCUACUGCGCAUUUUCCCACUUAACUUAGUUUAUAAUAAGGUCGUCGUUGCACUUGCCGCUCCAUUGACGGUUUGGCAACCCGACCCUAUUUAGUACGUAUACCGGUACGCAGUAUAAUAUAUCCACGCGUGAUGCGAUCUGGACUUCUGACAUCAAUUCGCUUUUUAGGACGGCCGGAAAGAUUUACUUUGGCUGCGGAUGAUCACGAUUUCGACGUUCGAGAAUCUUGAAUACGCCCGUCGACGUCCCACGUCCGUAUAGCAUUGGAUGUUUUCAACAUUUUGCUGCAAUAGUUUUCAACAAAUGGAAAUGAAAUUCGGAUAAGGGUUUUGCGUCAUCAAAAGAACCCAAUGUCAAAGAGGAUAAGAUUUCAUUUUAUUUAUGACUCCGCUCGAAACAAAGGCGCCCUCGCUGUUCCGGAUUUUGUUGAAAAGGAUAUAUACGUACAAACGAUGGAGUACAAUAUCAAAAAGAAAAAAUAAUUGCAACAGAGAAAUACGAAGAGCCUGACUGUGGUCCUUACGGUUGAUUUCGAUUACUAAGUAGCAUUGCAUGCAUGACUAGCGAUGACUAGCAGAUAAUACAACCUGCUAUAAAUAAGUAAAAAGUAAAGUUCUUCGUGCUGUUCAAAUAAUAACCUGAUAACUUCAUAACCUAAUUCAACGUUCCGAUUUUUUCUCACAGAGUUAUACUGACUGGUGGUUUCACUUGUACUCUGAGAUGACAUGAAUAAAGAAAUAUAGCCUGGCAUGCCUCCGCUUUUCCGUGAAGUGAAGUUUCCGUGAAGAUCGAGUAUCAGGACUUCAGGACUUCAACAUAGUCUGACGAAAAAUUAUGCUGCUCUCAAUCCAAUAAAUAAGCUGACAUUAAACUUAUGUGAUCGCACUGUUAUUUCAGACCAUCACAUAUUGCGUUUUCAAACCGCUAAGAAAACUUCGUUUUGGCAAUUUCACUUAUAAUUGAUAAUUUUUUUCUGACAGAGGAAACCACCAAUUUUCAAAUUAAAAAUUGAGCUAUGUCUGCGAUCUUGAUGUGAAAUCUGAUCAAUUGUAACGUUGAGUUAAUUUGAUAAUUCAAUCAUUUUUCAUUUUUCUAAUUUUUUUCCAGUUUCAAUUUCACGCCGUACUGUACAACAGUGCACGCGUGUUAUUGGCUGGCUGCCGACAAAUACCCUGAUAUUAUUUCGAGACUAGCUAAAUAGCUAAGUAGCUAGCGUGUCCAAAUCUAAAGAUCCAUGCCAUAUCGAAUGAUUUUUUAAAAAUAUUGUCACGCUAUGUCUGUCUGAUAGAGCAGCAAUCGGUGCGGCUAUCGGAAACCUUCACCCUGCCUUCACCGUUCACCCGAGAAGAUCAAUCCAUUUCUGAAAUCUAUAUAAGCGUGAUGAUGAAAGGCCCGGAAAUAGAACUGGCAAAGGGAAACGAUUUCAGAAAGACACAUUAUGACAAAUCUAAAACGCGGCGGUCUGCGUCUUUAUCGAUCGAGCAAAAUGCGAUACCAUAUUAAACUUAGAUUUGCUCUCAAUUUUCCGCAAUUUUGAUUAGGAAAAGUCAAUUGGGUUUCAUUGAUUCCUAUAUUGACUUAUUCUUGUAUUAGGUACAAAAAUCGUACCAUAAAUAAAUUCGUACUUUCGUUCAGACAGCAGAUUUUAUAUACUUGCGAGAACAGCGAGGAGAAUAGUACCCGUGUUCUUUGCGGUUCAUAUGAUGCCGUUUGUAGUGUAUCGCAUAUUGAAAAUAAACCUUGUGGGUCAAUUUAAUAUUUUGUGAAUGUAAAUAAGUUCCGUUAGAGAGAGUAUAGGUAUAAAGUGCGCGUGUAUAGA